GAUGAACGCUGGCGGCGUGCCUAACACAUGCAAGUCGAGCGAGGGUUUGCUCAGUAUUGAGUAUUCUAAGACUAGAAUGUUCAAUUCUGAGCAAAACCAAGCGGCGGACGGGUGAGUAACGCGUGGGUAACCUGCCCUAUACACAUGGAUAACAUACUGAAAAGUUUACUAAUACAUGAUAAUAUAUAUUUGCGGCAUCGCAGAUAUAUCAAAGUGUUAGCGGUAUAGGAUGGACCCGCGUCUGAUUAGCUAGUUGGUGAGAUAACUGCCCACCAAGGCGACGAUCAGUAGCCGACCUGAGAGGGUGAUCGGCCACAUUGGAACUGAGACACGGUCCAAACUCCUACGGGAGGCAGCAGUGGGGAAUAUUGCACAAUGGGCGAAAGCCUGAUGCAGCAACGCCGCGUGAACGAUGAAGGUCUUCGGAUCGUAAAGUUCUG
Molecule: ribosomal RNA, 440 nt
Filed under: Peptostreptococcus stomatis
Lineage: Bacteria; Bacillati; Bacillota; Clostridia; Peptostreptococcales; Peptostreptococcaceae
Description: bacterial SSU rRNA
Rfam family: Bacterial small subunit ribosomal RNA
Source: RNAcentral